UCCCAGUAAAGAAUCAUUCACAUGUUUUGCUUUCUUUUCAAGCCCUCGUGGUACACUUGCUGGUGCUGACUGAGGCAAAAGAUGAAAAUCCUGUUCCAGGAGGAAAUGCCUUAGUGAC
Small nucleolar RNA from Psammomys obesus (fat sand rat), 118 nucleotides. RefSeq annotates it as small nucleolar RNA SNORD22. Lineage: Eukaryota; Metazoa; Chordata; Mammalia; Rodentia; Muridae. The transcript has a single exon. The record is from RefSeq and is a predicted model, not a curated record.